This 211-nucleotide long non-coding RNA is filed under the name Lathyrus oleraceus (garden pea). RNAcentral describes it as "Pisum sativum (pea) long non-coding RNA (PSAT_LNC002896)". The record is from RNAcentral. Lineage: Eukaryota; Viridiplantae; Streptophyta; Magnoliopsida; Fabales; Fabaceae.
UUUUAUUAACUCCAAAGUUGAAAAACGGUAGACGUUUAGCUCUGAGGCUAGGCCGAGAAUGGUAAUCGUCAACUCUAAAGUCAGAAAAAGGUAGAUACUAAGCUCUAAGGCGGGGGUGGAAAAGGAUAAACGUCAACUCUGAGGUUGGAAACAUGUAGGCACUCAACACCGAGGCCGAAAAAUAUAAUGGUAAUCGUCAACUCUAAGGUUG